RNAcentral lists this ribosomal RNA (1579 nucleotides) under Dothideomycetes sp. genotype 279. RNAcentral describes it as "eukaryotic LSU rRNA". The stretch from base 982 to 1579 matches the Rfam family "Eukaryotic large subunit ribosomal RNA", at positions 1 to 604 of the family's 3401-position model. The record is from RNAcentral. Lineage: Eukaryota; Fungi; Ascomycota; Dothideomycetes.
ACGGGACCGCGCCUCCUCGGGGGGCGCGCGAUCCUUCCGCGUAACACUUGCCGAAGCCUCAGCAGCCCGAAAGGGUGCAGACCCGCGACUCUAAACGGAGGUCUGCUUAAAUGCUAGUCUGCCCCAAGCAGGCGACACUAUCAAAUUGCGGGAACACCCUAAAGACCUCAACACCAAGCGUCCGCCGGAAACGGCGGCGUGGCCGAGCUAAUAGCCCUGGGUACGGUAACAGCUUGAGGUAUGACGCGGGCGCAGCCCCGCCGAAAUGGGCAAUCCGCAGCCAAGUCCUAAGGGUCCGCCUGGAAGGGCGGAUUACGGAUGCUGUUCACAGGCCAAAUGGUAGUGGGUGGCCCCCCCCGCGAGGGGGGGCUGCUUAAGAUAUGGUCGGGCCCCUUUGGAAACAUCGGGGGGAAGUUUACGCUUCGAACCCAUCGGGCUGCACGCGCCGCGGCCGCCCCGAUGAGGGAAAACCGUUCCGUAGGUGAACCUGCGGAAGGAUCAUUACCAGGAAGCGGCGCCCUCGCCGGCGCCGGUUCUCCAACCACUGUGUACCGAACGCCUCGCCGCGCGCCCUCCCGCUCCGGGGGGGCGGGCGGCCGGCGCCCCAACCAAACCGUUCGUCGAGAUGGCAUCGUCUGACCUCCACGAGAAAGAAAUCGAAAUACAACUUUCAACAAUGGAUCUCUUGGCUCCGGCAUCGAUGAAGAACGCAGCGAAAUGCGAUAGCUAGUGUGAAUUGCAGAUUUUAGUGAAUCAUCGAGUCUUUGAACGCACAUUGCGCCUCUUGGUAUUCCUCGAGGCAUGCCUGUUCGAGCGUCGUUACGCCCCUCAAGCGCGAGCUUGGUGUUGGGGACCGCCCCGGGAGACCGGCGGCGGCCCUUGAAUCCAUCGGCGGUGCUGGUAGCAGCCCGGAGCGCAGCAGACAUGCGGCUUCCCGGGCGGCCCGGCGCCCGCCGGACAACGACGAGACCCUCCAAACGUCGACCUCGAAUCAGGUAGGGAUACCCGCUGAACUUAAGCAUAUCAAUAAGCGGAGGAAAAGAAACCAACAGGGAUUGCCUCAGUAACGGCGAGUGAAGCGGCAGCAGCUCAAAUUUGAAAUCUGGCGCCCCCCGGCGUCCGAGUUGUAAUUUGCAGAGGAUGCUUCGGCGUAGGCGCCGCCCAAAGUUCCUUGGAACGGGACGUCGCAGAGGGUGAGAGCCCCGUGUUCGGGCGGAUGCCUUCGCCGUGUGAAGCUCCUUCGACGAGUCGAGUUGUUUGGGAAUGCAGCUCAAAACGGGAGGUAAAUUUCUUCCAAAGCUAAAUACCGGCCGGAGACCGAUAGUGCACAAGUAGAGUGAUCGAAAGAUGAAAAGCACUUUGGAAAGAGAGUCAAACAGCGCGUGAAAUUGUUGAAAGGGAAGCGCUUGCGGUCAGAACUUGGCCGCCGUUGCUCGGGGAGGCCUCGCGCCUCCCUCGCUCUUCGGCGGCUGGGCCAGCAUCGGUUCGGGCGGCUCGAGAAAGGCCGCGGGAACGUAGCUCCCUCCGGGGAGUGUUAUAGCCCGCGGCGCAAUGGGGCCCGCCCGGAUCGAGGUCUGCG